GCUGGACACCAUAAUACAUGUUUGUCAUCCCAGCUUCCAGGGUAGUAGUGGCGGUGGGAAGGGGCUCAGUGACUGAGGAAGAGAACCUCUUGAGCUCAUGAGGUCUGAAGUGAGUGUGCUAUGCCCAUCAAGUUUCCAUACUAAGUUCAACAUCAGUAUGAUGACCUCCCAAGAACAGGAGAUCACCAGUUUGUCUAAGGAAGGGGAAAGUGGUCCAGGUCAGAAAUGAAGCAGGUCAAAACACUUGUGCAAAUGGAUAGUGAGACUUCACCUGUGAAUGACCACUGCUCUUCAACCUGAACCACAUAGUGAGACCUCGUU
This is an unclassified non-coding RNA of Oryctolagus cuniculus (rabbit), 321 nucleotides long. It matches the Rfam family "Metazoan signal recognition particle RNA". From Rfam's summary of the family: The signal recognition particle (SRP) is a universally conserved ribonucleoprotein. It is involved in the co-translational targeting of proteins to membranes. NCBI's taxonomy places the organism in Eukaryota, Metazoa, Chordata, Mammalia, Lagomorpha, Leporidae. The record is from Ensembl.